AGGAAGCCGGCGGACGGAGCGUCUGGUGGGGAGGAAGCCGGCGGACGGAGCGUCUGGUGGGGAGGAGCGCCGCGGGCGCCGCCGGAGCUCAGGUGUGGAGCGGGAGUGAGGCCGAUUAUGCAGCUCAUCUCGCCGGCAGGCGGGGGCGGUUCUGGGCGACAGUUGGAUCAAGUAGGGUUGAGGAUGUGGCUCUGGAAUGGAGGGACCGAAGGGCCCAGAAGGGAUGGCGCUACAGAAGAAAGCCGGGCUGGAAAUGGACUCUAUUCUUUUUCCUCCGCAGCUUUAUAUUCCAGGUUUUUAUUCCACUCCGUAGAUAGUAAUAUUUACUUUGACCAUCAAAUGUCAUCAUAUAAAACUGAGAUUGGCUUUCCUGCGUGAAUACUCAGUAAAUCUACAGAAUAGUCAGUGAAAGAGCAGCCAGAGUGCAGGAGGCAACAAUCUGCGCAAAUGCGAGUAUAAAUAAAUAGCAAUAAAUAACGAAAACAUAAAAUAACAAGGUAAAGAGUCCUUAAAGAGAGAUAAUCGAUUGUCGGAACAUCUCAAUGAUGGGGUAAGUGAGUGUGGUUAACUGUUUUGUUCAGGAGCCUGAUGUUUGAGGGGUGGUGCAGGUCCUGAGGUGCCGGUACCUUCCUGAUGGCAGCGGUGAAAAGAGAACAUGGUUUGGAUGGUGGGGGUCCCUGAUGACACUGCUUUCUUGCGACAGCACUCAAUAUACAUGCGCUCAAUGGUGGGGAGUGUUUUACCUGUGAUGGACUGGGUCAUAUCCUCUAAUUUUGUAGGAUUUUCUGUUCAAGGACAUUUGUGUUCAGGUGUAAUAACUGUUCUUGAACCUAGUGUGAGUCAUGAGUCCUCGGCCUGACCUGCUGAAAUUCCUUCAGCAUUUUGUGUGUGCUUAUAUUACAAACACUCAUUACCUCAAGUGCUUAACAACUCUUAUUUUGAAAUCACUGCAGUGUUGCCCUGACAUGAGAGAAUCAGAUUGUAUUAUGGAGAUGCUGGAAUUCAGAGGAAUAGAUAAUCUGGAAGAACUGAGUUCCAAGAGGAUCUGCAUGGCGAUUAUACUGAGUAGUUGAAGUUUUUUGUCAAAAUCUGCUUUUACUCUGAAAUGCUGACAUCUUUUGCUUCCAUCCCCAAAGAUGUUGAGUUUCUGCUGCUGAUUGUAGGACAAUGUUCUCCAGUUCAAAUCACUGAUCAAACAGAAGAUCAGAAUGACUCCCAGAAAAGUAAUUCAGAACUAUCGCUGCUCCCGCUAGUAUCCCACUAAUAAUCAAAAGUGGUUUACCAUUGCUGCCUUCUGACAGCGUCUUUACAAGAGGGGUGACCCCAGCCAUUUUCAAUUCUCUUCAUAAAUUGACGUCAGUGGUUGGAUAACCAGGUCUUGUGAUGUGCACCAGCUGCUCAUGUGACCAUCCGCUGCCACGGCUUCAUGUGACCCUGGGGUGGGGGGCAGGUGGUCCAUCUUGCCCAAGGGUGGACUGAAGGAAAAUGGAGGGGCGGAGUGCAUUAGACCUCCUUUGGUAGAGAUGUAUCACCACCCUGCUACCUGCCACUGAGGACAUUUAUAUGGAGCACUGUAGGGGGAAAAAAUGGCAUCCUUCGCUUAUCAUCCAGGCUACUUGCGCUACUCCCAGCUGGUACAGAAGACUUGGGUCCCAUGCCAACAGGUUCAGAAAUCUGCAACCUUCAGGCUCUGAACUGCCAUGGAUAAUAUCAUCACUCUAUACUGAAGCUGCUAUUUACGGGCUCACUUUGAAGGACUGUUUACAACUCGUGUUCUCAGUAAUCUUCCUGUAAAUGCCUACAAGAAAAUGAACCUCAAAGAAGCAUACACAAGCGCCCACCUGGACUGUACUUUUCUCCCCAUAGAUGCUGCCUGACCUGCUGAGUUCCUCCAGCAUUUUGUUCUUUCGAUUUCUUGCAUCUGCAGAAUUUCUCAUUUGUUGUAACACACACACUUUGAUAAUACAUUUACUUUAAGCUAGUGCCCUGAAUGUAGUGUGUGAACAAAAUCAGUUAUUUAUACAAGUUAAAGAAUGAAGCUUACUAAAGUUAGAUUUAUUAAAUUGGGUUGUCAGUUGUGUUUUAAGUACAUGGAAAUCUGACCGGUCAUCUUCUAUGGCCAUUUAAGUGGCCUUCUGAAGUUGAUGUGCAUGGUGCAUCUUGAACAAGGAGCAGUGAGCGUGAACCAAUUAUGAAUAUAUCGUAAUGCUGGAAGAGCUCAGGAGAGGAGUGGCUUCCCCCAUCCUUUCCAACCUUGAUAAAGGAUCUUGGCCCAAAACAUCAACUGUUUAUUCCUUUCCAUAGAUGCACUGAGCUCUUCCAGCAUUUUGUGUUACUCUGGAUUUUCAGCAUGUUUAUUUAUUUGAGAUAGAGUGCAGAUUAGGUCCUUCAAUCCAUACUGCCCAGCAAUCCCCCACUUCAAUGCUAGUGCAAUCACAGGACAAUUUACAAUGACCAAUUUCUUCCAACCAGUAUAUCCCAGGGAAAAUGUACACGUUUGCAGGGAAAGCUUACAAACUCCUUGCAAACAGCAGCAGGAAAUGAAUCCUAGUCUCCUGUGCUGUUAAAGCAUUGUGCUAACCACUACACUACUGUGCUUGAAUGUAACUCUCUAUGCGAGGGUUGGUGGGUAAAUUUGCUCUUGUCACACAAGGCAGGCAGGCUCCAAAUGAUUAGCUGAGAGUAGUCAGAGCUACUGCUACACAACUCCAGCAGCUUGUGACCUGCCCUGCCUUUACAUGCUGUUGAUGCAGUUUGUACAUUACCCUUGUCAAAGUGUGGACUUCCCUGUACAUUUGAGGUUUGCUGGUAGAUUGAGAACUGGGCAUGAGAAUAGGUUACUGAUGCAUUUCACUGUAUAUUUUGAUGUAUACAUGACAAAUAAUGCUAAUCUUACCUUGGCGUGGAAUUGAUGGGAAUGCUUUGACAGCUGGCAUUGACUCACUGUUAUGUGACCUUGUCAUUAGAAGGAAUGGAAAUUUUAACAACUGUCCUAGUCUAUAUGAGAUGCUGUUCUUGUGCCAGGGUAGCCAGUAGGUUUAACCCUGAAGGCUGAGAGGUUCUCUGAAGCACAAGGAAUUGAGACUCUAGCUUCACCUCAAGCAGAGUUUCAACAAUGGUGUACAAGACAAUAAGAAAUAGGAGCAGAAUUGGGGCUUGGGCUCAAUGGGCUUAGGCGGAAGCGGGCGAGGCAAGGCAAGGUAGGUUUAGGUUUCAGUUUUUGCUGUUAUUUGAGGAAAGGGGAAGUAUGAGUGUGAGGGCAGCUUGUUCUCGGUGUCGGAUGUGGGAGGUCCUGGAGUCUCCUCGCCUUCUGGAAGUCCACAUCUGCGCCGAGCUGCAGCUCGAUGACCUUCAUCUGGUCAGGGAGAGUGAGGAUUUGAUAGAGGGGUUACAGACAGGUGGGUCACAGUUAGGAUGGGGAAGAGUCAGGUACUAGAGAAUACCCCAGUGGCUGUACCCGUUAAUAAGUACUCCUCCUGUUUGAAUACUGUUGGGGGGGGGGGGGGGGAGAGACAGCUUACCUGGGGGAAGCAACAGUGGCUGUGCCUCUGGCACAGAGUCCGGCCCUGUAGCUCAGAAGAGUAGGGAAAGGAAGAGGAAGGCAUUAGUAACAGGGGACUCGAUAGUUGGGGGGCAGACAGGCGAUUCUAUGGACGCGAUCAGGAUACCCAGAUGGUAGUUUGCCUCCCUGGUGCCAGGAUCUGGGGUGUUUCUGAUCGCAUCCAAGAUAUCCUGAAGUGGGAGGGUGAGGAGCCAGAGGUCGUGGUACAUAUAGGUACCAAUGAUAUAGGUAGGAAAAGGGAAGAGGUCCUGAAAGGAGAAUAUAGGGAGUUAGGAAGGCAGUUGAGAAGUACCACAAAGGUGGUAAUCUCAGGAUUACUGCCUGUGCCACGUGACAGAGUAGGAAUGGAAUGAGGUGGAGGAUAAAUGUGUGGCUGAGGGAUUGGAGCAGGGGCAGGAAUUCAGAUUUCUGGAUCAUUGGGACCUCUUUUGGGGCAGGACUGGUUACACUUGACUCCUAGGGGGACCAAUAUCCUAGCCGGGAGAGGUGGAGAGUUUCUUAAAUGCAUAUAUUUUAAAGCUAGGAGCAUUGUAAGAAAGGUGGAUGAGCUUAGAGCAUGGAUUGAUACCUGGAAAUAUUAUGUAGCUAUUAGUGAAACAUGGCUGCAGGAGGGAUGUGCCUGGCUUUUGUUGCUUCAGGUGUGAUAGAAACGGAGGGGCAAGUGGAGGAGGUGUUGCAUUGCUUGUCCGAGAAAAUAUUACCACGGUGCUUUGGCAGGAUAGAUUAGAGGGCUCAUCUAGGGAGACUAUUGGGUGGAUUUGAGGAAUGGGAAAGGUGUAGUAACACUUAUAGGGGUGUAUUAUAGACUAACUAAUGGGGAGUGAGAAUUGAAGGAGCAAAUUUGUAAGGAGAUGGCAGAUAUUUGUAGUAAGCACAAGGUUGUGAUUGUGGGAGAUUUUAACUUUCCACACAUAAACUGGGAAGCCCAUUCUGUGAAAGGGCUGGAUGGUUUGGAGUUUGUAAAAUGUGUGCAGGAUAGUUUUUUGCAGUAAUACAUAGAGGUACCGACUGAGAAGGGGCAGUGUUGGAUCUCCUGGUAGGGAAUGAGAUAGGUCAGGUGACGGAGGUAUGUGUUGGGGAGCACUUCGGGUCCAGUGAUCACAGUGCCAUUAGUUUCAAUAUAAUCAUGGAGAAGGAUAGGACGACCCAGGGUUGAGAUUUUUGAUUAGAGAAAGGCUACUUUGAGGAGAUGCGAAAGGAUUUAGAAGGACGGUAUUGGGACAAUUUGUUUUAUGGGAAGGAUGUAAUAAGGAAAUAGAGAUCAUUUAAAGGUGAAAUUUUGAGGGUACAGAAUCUUUAUGUUCCUGUUAGGAUGAAAGGAAAGGUUAAAAGUUUGAGAGAGCCAUGGUUUUCAAGGGAUAUUGGAAACUUGGUUCAGAAAAAGAGGGAGAUCUACAAUAAAUAUAGGCAGCAUGGAGUAAAUGAGGUGCUCGAGGAAUAUAAUUAAUGUAAAAAGAAUCUUAAGAAAUUAGUAAAGCUAAAAGAAGAUACAAGGUUGCUUUGGCAAGUAAGGUGAAAAUAAAUCUAAAGGGUUUCUACAGUUAUAUUAAUAGCAAAAGGAUAGUGAGGGAUAAAAUUGGUCCCUUAGAGAAUCAGAGUGGACAACUAUGUGUGGAGCCAAAAGAGAUGGGGGAGAUUUUGAACAAUUUCUUUGGUAUUCACUAAGGAGAAGGAUAUUGAAUUGUGUAAGGUAAGGGAAACAAGUAGGGAAGUUAUGGAAACUAUGACAAUUAGAGGAGGAAGUACUAGCGCUUUUAAGGAAUAUAAAAGUGGAUAAAUCUCUGGGUCCUGACAGGAUAUUCCCUAGGACCUUGAGGGAAGUUGGUGUAGAAAUAGCAGGGGCUCUGACAGAAAAAUUUCAAAUGUCAUUAGAAAUGGGGAUGGUGCUGGAGGAUUGGCGUAUUACUCAUGUGGUUCCAUUGUUUAAAAAGGGUUCUAAGAGUAAACCUAGCAAUAGGCCUGUCAGUGUGAUGUCAGUGGUGGGUAAAUUAAUGGAGAGUAUUCUUAGAGAUGGUAUAUCUGGAUAGACAGGGUCUGAUCAGGAAUAGCCAGCAUGGAUUUGUGCAUGGAAGGUCAUUUUUGACAAAUCUAUUGAAUUUUAUGAAGAGGUUAUGAGGAAAGUUGAUGAGGGUAAAGCAGUGGAUGUUGUCCAUAUGGACUUCAGUAAGGCCUUUGACAAGGUUCUGCACGGAAGGUUAGUUAGGAAGGUAUUAAUAUUGAAAUAGUAAAAUGGAUUCAACAGUGGCUGGAUGGGAGAUGCCAGAGAGUAGUGGUGGAUAACUGUUUGUCAGGUUGGAGGCCGGUGACUAGUGGUGUGCCUCAGGGAUCUGUACUGGGUCCAAUGUUGUCUGUCAUAUACAUUAAUGAUCUGGAUGAUGGGGUGGUAAAUUGGAUUAGUAAGUAUGCAGAUGAUACUAAGGUAGGAGGCGUUGUGGAUAAUGAAGUAGGUUUUCAAAGCUUGCAGAGAGAUUUAGGCCAGUUAGAAGAGUGGGCUGAAUGAUGGCAGAUGGAGUUUAAUGCUGAUAAGUGUGAGGUGCUACAUUUUGGUAAGAAUAAUCCAAAUAGGACAUACAUGGUAAAUGGUAGGGCAUUGAAGAAUGCAGUAGAACAGAGUGAUCUAGGAAUAAUGGUGCAUAGUUCCCUGAGGGUGGAAUCUCAUGUGGAUAGAGUGGUGAAGAAAGCUUUUGGUAUGCUGGCCUUUAUAAAUCAGAGCAUUGAGUAUAGGAGUUGGGAUGUAAUAUUAAAAUUGUACAAGGCAUUGGUAAGGCCGAAUUUGGAGUAUUGUGUACAGUUCUGGUCACCAAAUUAUAGGAAAGAUAUCAACAAACUAGAGAGAGUACAGAGAAGAUUUACUAGAAUGUUACCUGGGUUUCAGCACCUAAGUUACAGGGAAAGGUUGAACAAGUUAGGUCCUUAUUCUUUGGAGUGCAGAAGGUUGAGGGGGGACUUGAUUGAGGUACUUAAAAUAAUGAGGGGGAUAGGUCGAGUUGACGUGGAUAGGCUUUUUCCAUUGAGAGUAGGGGAGAUUCAAACAAGAAGACAUGAGUUGAGAGUUGGGGGCAAAAGUUUAAGGGUAACAUGAGGGGGAAUUUCUUUACUCAGAGUGGUAGCUGUGUGGAAUGAGCUUCCAGUAGAAGUGGUAGAGGUAUUGUCAUUUAAAGUAAAAUUGGAUAGGUAUAUGGACAAGAAAGGAAUGGAGGGUUAUGGGCUGAGUGCAGUUCGGUGGGACUAGGUGAACGUAAGCGUCGGCACGGACUAGAAGGGCCGAGAUGGCCUGUUCCGUGCUGUAAUUGUUCUAUGGUUAUGUAGGGUAACUCAUCACAGCUGAUCCAUUUUCCCACUCAGUCUCAAUUUACUCCCUUCCCCCACUAUCCCUUCAUGUCCUACCCAAUCAAGAAUUUAUCAACCUCUGCCUUAAAUAUAUACAAAGCCUUGGCCUUCACAGUUGCCUUUGGCAACAAAUUCCACAGACAUUUUGGAGACUGCAUGAUCCAGGACUUGAGUGAAUUUAUUGUAACUGAAUGGAGCAGUUCCAUGCUUUUGGAGAAGGAAAUACAGUUGCUACUUUUGGUCUUAGAUUAUAAAGGGCAAUAAGCCAGUGAUCUUACUUAAUAUGCUGGAAUGUGUGGCAGACAAGAAUGGGUACUGUUGUCUACUAUCUGGCAGGGAAGCUUUGUUGACUUACUAAGGUCAAUUUCCAGAUGAGGGAGAGGAAGGGUAAGUUGCCCUGCACCCAAGUAAUUUUACCCCAGCAAGCAGCAGAGCAGGGAAAAAACUCAAUGAGUAAACAUGGGGUUGACAAAUGAAUUAGUAUGAUUAAUAGUGGAUUAUCACAAUCUGUUCCUCCAAGAGUACCACAACCUUGUCAUAAGGUUUGGAGGCUUGUGUGCUUCAAUGACCUGGAGAGGAGCUAUGUUGACUGGAGUAAGGGUUUUAUGAUUUGAGUCUUGGUGGGGACACCCAUGCCAAAUAGCAGAAGGGCUAAGACUGGCUUGGGUUCAGUAAAACAAAAUAGUUAUGGAAACAGCAAUGAAGAAUUGAUCUACAUCUAAGUGCCAUAGUAUUUCUGAGUCUCCAACUGGGUUAUGCAUGACUGAAGACCAAGAGGAAGCUACUGGCA
RNA transcript from Hypanus sabinus (Atlantic stingray), 7682 nucleotides. It is a transcript of the gene named UFM1-specific peptidase 1 (non-functional), with no coding region annotated. NCBI's taxonomy places the organism in Eukaryota, Metazoa, Chordata, Chondrichthyes, Myliobatiformes, Dasyatidae. The transcript is spliced from 3 exons. The record is from RefSeq and is a predicted model, not a curated record.